AUUUAAAUAAUUCAUCUUCAAAUGACUUAUUUAAAUAUCUGUAAUCGAAUACACGUAUUGCUGUGUGUAGUCUUUGCCUGUCAUCUUAGACGGGCUUUUUUUUUA
This 105-nucleotide non-coding RNA is filed under the name Yersinia enterocolitica. Its description in RNAcentral is "antisense sRNA RprA". It matches the Rfam family "RprA RNA". Rfam says of the family: Translational regulation of the stationary phase sigma factor RpoS is mediated by the formation of a double-stranded RNA stem-loop structure in the upstream region of the rpoS messenger RNA, occluding the translation initiation site. Clones carrying rprA (RpoS regulator RNA A) increased the translation of RpoS. The record is from RNAcentral. Lineage: Bacteria; Pseudomonadati; Pseudomonadota; Gammaproteobacteria; Enterobacterales; Yersiniaceae. RNAcentral also lists the same sequence under 6 other names.